CCAUUUUGGUAUAUUUUAAAAGUGGCCUAGAUAACUUUCAAUUUUUUUAAAAAACAUAAGCCCAUUACUUUUUUUCUUAAUACUACUAUCCUUGUUUUCAAACAAAAAUAUUUUUUUUUAAAAGACUGCAAUCCAUGUUUCCAAACACUCCAAAUUUUUAAAAGUCCUAUUCAAGUCUCCAAACACUCCAAUUUUGUACUUGAGUUUUAAUAAGA
Molecule: long non-coding RNA, 215 nt
Filed under: Brassica rapa (field mustard)
Lineage: Eukaryota; Viridiplantae; Streptophyta; Magnoliopsida; Brassicales; Brassicaceae
Description: long non-coding RNA (BRAP_LNC002745)
Source: RNAcentral